Long non-coding RNA from Dermacentor silvarum, 1028 nucleotides. RefSeq lists it as uncharacterized. The transcript is spliced from 2 exons. The record is from RefSeq and is a predicted model, not a curated record. Lineage: Eukaryota; Metazoa; Arthropoda; Arachnida; Ixodida; Ixodidae.
UGUUGCCCCCCCUCCACGACGAGUUGAGAAUGACGCAUAACAAGACAAAUUUCUAUUGUUUUUAAUGAAAGUUUAUUCCACCUCACAAUUAUGUUGCUACAGUACCAGAUCACACUGGGGAAGGAAGUUGUUGAGUAGAAGCGAGAUAUAUGCUGUUCUCGUUUCAUUGUUCGGCUCCAGACUAAGCGUUGUGCCCAACCAGCAGCCAGCACCCAACUUAGCGUAAUGCAAGAAAAUAUCCCACCAUGACGAUAAACUCGAGCUCGGACACGUUCUCAAAAAAUCACAUCCCUUGGUGUUUUUUUUUUUUUUCUGCUGUACAUAAUACGUUUGACAAAUUCGAGCGGGAAGCUGUGUUUCUUUUAUUUGUUUUGUAUUUUUUUUAGUUUUUCUGUCUGUUGGCUUGUUUAUAAAUUGAUUUCCAAUAAAUAUAUCCUACAUGCUCUAUUUCGUUGUUUUCGUCUGAACAAUAAUUCGUCUCAUGCUAUGAAUAACAACGUCCUAUGUAAUCUAAAGGGUGUUUCCACUCUGCACUAUUUAUUAGUCAUGACAUUUGACAUUUGUCAGGGUUGUGGGUUUGGACUCAUCGUAUGUUACUGCGCUCAUUCGAAGGAAAACUCCCCCUAGCUAUCAUAUCCGUCUAUUUCCUUAAGACGAUAUCCACUGCCCAGUUUUCAAUGGCCUGUGCAAUAUUGAACUUGUGAAUGCUAGUGAUACAAGUGAAUACUAAGGAUGAAUAGAGUGCUCGAUGUGUGUUUAGAUGUAGGACCACACACGCCCUUCUCUCAUGCUGCUUAGCCGCACUUUAAAACUAAUAAGAACCCGCGCGAGACGCCAUUUUUUUAAUUUUUAUUGCAAAGCAGGCGCACCUUUUUUACAAUGCCGGUCAUCUUACUAAAGCGCAUACAUCCAGGAAAACAACAAGAGAAAGGUUAGAGAGAGAGACACUGAGGUCAUGCAGUGUUUUAAUCCGGCUUUCGGAUCCCUUUUUGGGUAAGGGACUAAGGGCAUUCAAGUAUUAAAGAUGA